AUCAAAGAUGGUCUACCCACUGUUCUCCUGAAUAGAAAACACAACCAGAUUUAAAACUUGGACUGUUUACCCUAAUAACCAAAUAACUCUUUGUUCAGCUUACACAUCUAAAAACAACAUCAGAAAUGGACAAUUGAAAUCCUGCCACCUCCUAUUGAUUCCCCCAUUACUCAGCCUUCAGAUAAGGAUCGCAGGUCAGGAUCAGCUCGGAUAAAAGACAGAGGACAACAUUAUUCAACAGUGUGAAUAAUUGAGCAGCCUUGCAAUCACUUUCCGGAAGGGAAUGGGAAGAUCAUGGCAAUGACCGUGCUUAUCACAUGGCGCCACGGAUCUGUAACCUCUGACAGAGACGUCUGCCUUGCUGGUGUGUUUGAGACGGGUGAUGGAGCAAAGGUACAUCAUGCAUCAUCAUGCAGAGAGGUCAUAUCAGCAGGAUACACUGUUGAAUGAAGGACAGCGUAAAGAUGCCCAAUUACACAACUGUACAUCUUUGAAAAGCAGAUUUGCAGAUUUGUACAGUCAACAAGAACAAGUAGUUUCUGAAUG
Molecule: long non-coding RNA, 546 nt
Organism: Poeciliopsis prolifica (blackstripe livebearer)
Lineage: Eukaryota; Metazoa; Chordata; Actinopteri; Cyprinodontiformes; Poeciliidae
Exons: 3
Source: RefSeq, a predicted model, not a curated record